Molecule: ribosomal RNA, 497 nt
Filed under: uncultured bacterium
Lineage: Bacteria
Description: partial 16S ribosomal RNA
Rfam family: Bacterial small subunit ribosomal RNA
Source: RNAcentral
GAUGGACGCUGGCGGCGUGCCUAAUACAUGCAAGUCGAGCGAACGGACGAGAAGCUUGCUUCUCUGAUGUUAGCGGCGGACGGGUGAGUAACACGUGGAUAACCUACCUAUAAGACUGGGAUAACUUCGGGAAACCGUAGCUAAUACCGGAUAAUAUUUUGAACCGCAUGGUUCAAAAGUGAAGGACGGUCUUGCUGUCACUUAUAGAUGGAUCCGCGCUGCAUUAGCUAGUUGGUAAGGUAACGGCUUACCAAGGCAACGAUGCAUAGCCGACCUGAGAGGGUGAUCGGCCACACUGGAACUGAGACACGGUCCAGACUCCUACGGGAGGCAGCAGUAGGGAAUCUUCCGCAAUGGGCGAAAGCCUGACGGAGCAACGCCGCGUGAGUGAUGAAGGUCUUCGGAUCGUAAAACUCUGUUAUUAGGGAAGAACAUAUGUGUAAGUAACUGUGCACAUCUUGACGGUACCUAAUCAGAAAGCCACGGCUAACUACGUG